ACAACGGAGAGUUUGAUCCUGGCUCAGGAUGAACGCUAGCGGCAGGCUUAACACAUGCAAGUCGA
Molecule: ribosomal RNA, 65 nt
Filed under: Muribaculaceae bacterium
Lineage: Bacteria; Pseudomonadati; Bacteroidota; Bacteroidia; Bacteroidales; Muribaculaceae
Description: partial 16S ribosomal RNA
Rfam family: Bacterial small subunit ribosomal RNA
Source: RNAcentral